UAGUAAACUUUCAUGCUUAGAGUGCCA
RNAcentral lists this non-coding RNA (27 nucleotides) under Mus musculus (house mouse). The record is from RNAcentral. Lineage: Eukaryota; Metazoa; Chordata; Mammalia; Rodentia; Muridae.